ACGCACGCUGGCGGCGUGCUUAACACCUGCAAGUCGAACGGUGAAGCUCCAGCUUGCUGGAGUGGAUCAGUGGCGAACGGGUGAGUAACACGUGAGCAACCUGCCCCUGACUCUGGAAUAAGCGCUGGAAACGGCGUCUAAUACUGGAUACGAGAAGGGUCCGCAUGGGCACUUUCUGGAAAGUUUUUCGGUUGGGGAUGGGCUCGCGGCCUAUCAGCUUGUUGGUGAGGUAAUGGCUCACCAAGGCGACGACGGGUAGCCGGCCUGAGAGGGCGACCGGCCACACUGGGACUGAGACACGGCCCAGACUCCUACGGGAGGCAGCAGUGGGGAAUAUUGCACAAUGGGCGAAAGCCUGAUGCAGCGACGCCGCGUGAGGGAUGACGGCCUUCGGGUUGUAAACCUCUUUCAGCAGGGAAGAAGCGAAAGUGACGGUACCUGCAGAAGAAGCACCGGCUAACUACGUG
This 467-nucleotide ribosomal RNA is filed under the name uncultured bacterium. RNAcentral describes it as "partial 16S ribosomal RNA". It matches the Rfam family "Bacterial small subunit ribosomal RNA", at positions 29 to 507 of the family's 1533-position model. The record is from RNAcentral.